GGUUUUUUCAAGGGCAGAGGGGAGAUUCCUGGCGUGCAUCUACUUAAUUUGAAGAAGAACAUCACCUGAUCACCUGUCUGUAAUCCACCUGCGAAGACACUGCUGAGGUCAGACGAGAGUGCAUCCUCAAAGGUCUGUGUGUACCUAAAUGAAGAUCCAGAGAAGCUGGUGAGGGAGUACAUGGACGUUGAUGAAUGAAAUGGCCAAAGCCGAGACUGUCCUCGGAAUCGUCAUUUGAGCAGAGGGUGCCGAUCCUCAUCUGGAUGUUGGGAUUGUCCUGGAGGGGGUGGAAGUUAUGAACAGCUUGGGCAGUGUAUCUUCUGCAAUAGUGAUGCUGCUGGGACUAAUCUACGCACUAAACUUGAGCUACCCUCAAGUUUAGUGCGUUCAGCACUCAACUUGCUCAGUAACUCAAGCAUACCUUUGAAGUAAUACAGAAAAUAAUAAUGAAAUUGGAUGGAAAGAACUUAUCAAAGAAAGCACAAGUUCUCAAUAUGAAACUCGCUGCUAAGUUGAGUAAAGUUUCAUAUGGAAAAUGAGUGUUUAAAGUCUGCAGUAGAAAAGAUUUAUAUUGUUACAGUUCUCUUAAGUUGAGCAACUAUACUGACAUGUUUUAUGUUGUAAAGAAUUG
Long non-coding RNA from Poeciliopsis prolifica (blackstripe livebearer), 631 nucleotides. RefSeq lists it as uncharacterized. The transcript is spliced from 4 exons. NCBI's taxonomy places the organism in Eukaryota, Metazoa, Chordata, Actinopteri, Cyprinodontiformes, Poeciliidae. The record is from RefSeq and is a predicted model, not a curated record.